RNAcentral lists this long non-coding RNA (1430 nucleotides) under Brassica napus (rape). RNAcentral's name for it is "long non-coding RNA (BNAP_LNC010662)". The record is from RNAcentral. Lineage: Eukaryota; Viridiplantae; Streptophyta; Magnoliopsida; Brassicales; Brassicaceae.
AUUUAAAUACCGAAUUUUCACAAAUUAGCCAAAAAGUACAGAUUUUUCAUUAAUCCAAGUAAAUCACAAACUUAUAUUGACUUAGCCAUAUAAGAUACACUUUUGGUCAACUGUUUGUGGCGUUAAAUCUCCGUCUAAUGUUCACGGAGAUCCUUACGUCGUCGUUUUAAAAAUAGAACAUAAUUUACAAAAUCCCCAACUCUGCAAAUCGAAUUCACCUCUUACUCUAUUCUCUGCAACUUGAUUUCAUCUUCUCUGUGAGUGUAAAACCACAAAUCGAUUCUUCUUUAUAUGAUGAGACGCCAAAAGUUUUCUAUACAUCGAGAAAGAGCUAGAGAACGUGAAACUACAACGGUUUUUGAAGAUGAUGAAAUAAGGUUGAGUGCAAUUAGCAGAGAUGGGCGUGAAUCUCAUACCCGGUGAUGAUUGUGAAACUAUCGCUGAUGAUCCUGCUGAUGAGGUCGAAGAAGAAACGAACGAGGUUGAAGAAGAAGAAGAAAAAGAAAAAGAAAGGACUGAGGUAGAAGAAGAAGAAGAGAAUGAGGAAGAAGGCGUAAGAAUUGAUGAAGACGCUUGUGAGGUUUUAUCAUCACACUUUGGAGAUGUUGCAAGGAAUGAUGAAGAAGAUAACCAUGACAGCGGAGAAGAGGAUUGCUGGACAGACAAAGUUUAAUAUACCUGUUCAUGUAUCAUGUGAUGAUGAGUCACCUAGAAUGCAUGUUUCAACCUUGAAAUCUUCACCUUGCUUUUUGUUUCAGACUUUUGUUGGAUUCCUUUUUUUUUGUUUUAUGCAAACUUACUUUUGUUAGUUUUCAAUACGUCUUUGGUGAAACAGAGACAAAAAUAAGAGGAACAAUAAGAGGAACAAUAAGACAAAAAGAUACAAGAGCUCACAUAUAAACAUAGAUUAUUUUUCUUACAAAUGAAACAAAGUUGCAGCAAUUUAAUAGAAAAAGUCUUACAAAAGAGACAAAAUAAGGCUUAAAAGAAACAGUCUGGAACGGUUUUGAGACAAAGAUACAAGAGCUUAAGAGAAUAGAUAGGCAAAAUAGUGAUUACAACCAACAUAAAACAAAAGAUUCCACAACAUGUCUCAGUGAUGAGUUUCCACUUCCUCAUCUCGAACUUUGUCGAAAUAACAUCCUCUAUUAAGUCAUCAACACCUUGUUCAAGCAAUCAACCUAGCCUUUUAUAUUGUAAAUCUCAAAUUGAAUGUUUUCAGGUUUUGGAAGUGAAAAAUCUCUUCAGGCAAUGAUUCUUCUACCCACAAACACACUUCGAUGACAAACCUCUCUUUCCAAAAUCUCGUUUUUCAAACGGAAUCAAAAUCAUCUGUUUCACUUGAUUCUAGCUUGUAAUUAGAAGAGAUGAAGCCAAGUCGCAGAGGAAACAACAAGAUUCUAAAUCGGGUUGAAGGGAAGAGAAGAAGA